RNAcentral lists this unclassified non-coding RNA (4088 nucleotides) under Dimorphilus gyrociliatus. RNAcentral describes it as "amidase domain-containing protein". Lineage: Eukaryota; Metazoa; Annelida; Polychaeta; Dinophilidae. The record is from RNAcentral.
AUUUAUACCAGUUUUUAUUAACAAUUUAUAUAUAUAUAGAUAUAUUGAGAAAUAAUAUUUAAAAUUUCUAGUUGCAUAUCCAGAGGUUACCGACAAUGACAAUGGCAAGAAAAACCCUACUAAUAUGCUCCGGGCUUACAAGCGUACUAAUACUUCGAUGGUUAGCACAUUCGAUAAUAAAACGUCAAAAGAAAGCAAAAAACGAGCAAAAGAAACUAAAAGCUCAGAGUAAAAGAGCCGAACAGUUAAAUAACCUAAAAGCCGAAUUAAAGCAAUUUUCUUUCGAAAAAUCAGAAGAAAUACUUAAUCUAACUGUUCCUGAACUUCUAGAAAAGUUAAUCAAAGGAGAAUUAACAUCACUGCAGGUUGUUUCAACCUACCAGAAAGCCGCGUUAGCUUCUCACGAUCAAACAAACUGUCUUGUAGAAAUUAUUAACGAAAGCAAAGAACUCUGUAAUAGUCCAAUACAACAAGGACAACUACUAUACGGCAUUCCAGUAUGUUUGAAGGAAGAUAUUGGCCUUAAGGGUUAUACCACAUGUUUUGGUUGUGCUAAGUGGUUAGAACAACCCCUAAUCGAAGAUUCCGUUAUAGUUAAAGUGCUUAAGCAUCAUGGAGCUAUUCCAUUUGUUAGAACAAAUCUUUGCCAAAUGACAUUGACGUACGAAAGCUCCAAUCCAAUUUAUGGUGAAACUCUCAAUGCUGUCCAAAAUGAUCGAAGUCCCGGCGGUUCUAGCAGUGGUAAUGGAGCAUUAAUCGGAAGCGGGGGAAGUCCUAUAGGAAUCGGCUCUGAUAUGGGUGGUUCCCUGAGACUACCUGCACAUUUUAAUGGCAUUGUCGCUCUUAAACCUUCCGUUGGUAGAGUAAGUUCGAAAGGUUGUAAACCACUCUUUCCCGGUAGAGAAAUAAAUCCACCGGCAUAUGGACCACAAGGAAAAGAUGUUCAAUCAGUUGUUUCCCUUAUGAAGGCUUUAGCUUCGAAUAUAAUGUAUGAACUAGACGAAACAAUUCCACCGCUGCCUUUCAACAACGACCUAUACGAAUCAAAGAAAAAUUUCCGCAUUGGUUAUUUCGACUUUAAUGGGGUUUUUCCAGCUGUUCCCGCUGUAAAACGAGCAGUAGAGCACACGAAGAACAUAUUAUCAAACAAGGGCUAUGAAAUGGUAAAUUGUAGUAGUUGGCAUGAGCAAAUUCAAUUUCAAGUUGGAGUUGAGCUGAUUACUGAUCAUACAUUGAUAGACGGAUGUAAAGAAAUGAUGGCGGCACUUGAUAAUGAGGAACUAGAUGCUUCGUUCCAACAAUUUAUAGGAUUCCUGAGGAUGCCUAAAUUUAUCCAGCGUCUAAUUGCUCACAUGGUUUCUCUCUCAGAUCAGAGUACUGGAAGGAUUUUGGCUAAGAUGAUAAAUAGAGACGCCUCAGUUACUAAAUUAUUUGAACAUGGUCGAAUUAAACAAGAAUAUAAAGAGAAGAUUCGUUCUUUAUGGGAAAGUGAAAACUUAGACGCUAUUAUAUGUCCACCUUGCGGUGUUUACGCACCUCCCCCAAAAAAGUAUAUGAAUGCUGUUGGACCCGCUACAACUUAUGCCUCUGCUUGGAAUAUUACAAACUACGUGGCAGGUGUUGUUCCAGUAACAACUGUUAACGAAAAGGAUGAAAAAGAUCUUGAUCAAUAUCUGGAAUCUAACAAAAGCAAUCCACUCGCUAAAUUAACUUGUGAGGGAUCCCGAGGAGGUGUCGGUCUACCAGUUGGUAUUCAAGUCAUAACUCCACCAUUUAGAGAGGAAACUUGCUUGAAUAUUAUGAGACAAAUCGAAAAAGGAGUAAAAUAUUAAAGAUACUGAGAGAGAAAAAGGUGAUACAGAUAAGAAUGAAAUUUAUUAGAUUAGUGCCUAACAUUUAUCUUUAUACUAACGACUUUUGUUUUUUAAAAAAGAAACAAACACGAAUCAUCUAUUAAUCUUCUUUUCUAUCUCCUUUGAAUAUAUAUUCAUUAUUUAAAUUUAUUUGCUGUUUAGUAAUUCUACUUGAUGUAUCCGAUAGUUCAUCCUUUAAAUCUGUUCUAUCAGAUUUUUCUUCAAAUUCCGAAAGUACUGUACUUUUUAUUAUUUGGAUACUUUCCUCUUUGUGGUCGGAACAAUCUGCUGUUUGUGUAUCUUUUUUAGAGUUUGAAUAACUUAUCGAAUCAAUAUGCAAUUGGCUUGCAACGGCCUUCUCUCUAUCCCUUUCUAACGAGGUUCCAGAGUUAUGCCGUAAAUCUUCGAAAUUCAAUGAAUGACCCUCAUUAGUAAUAUCACUAUCGCGUCUGUCCUUCGUAUCACUUUUGCAGCUAGCGUUUUCAGGUGGAAUUUGAUGUAUUUCUUGUUGAUUAUUCUCCUCAGUUUUGAAUGUAUCAUUUGGUAAUCUAUCUACUUCCCCUCUUAAUCUCAUUCCGUAAUCCUUUAAUUCGGGUGAUUUAGGACUGGAACUUUCGAUUUUCACCUCUUUUCCUUUAUCAUUUUGAACUGUAACCUCAGUGUUUAAUUGAGAAUUCUCAGAAGCUUGAAUAACUUCGCUAGACGUAUUAUUUUCGUAUAGUUCCCUACACUCGUCUGUAUUUAAUCUUUGAGAAUCCUCCAUGGUAUUCGGUGUCAAUCUUCCACAGUCUUCUCGAGCUUCUAUCAACUCUCCUUGGUCUUUAUCAAAUUCUUUAGCUGAUUUAUCGGUACUUUCGAAUGUUUGAGAUGGGAGAGUCAUUUCAGAAAUGCUACAGAAUAUAAACGAUGCUCUCGAUUCAGUAUGAGAAUCUGUUUUGCUAAAUUCUGACUUUUCUUUGACAAGAUUUUCAACAGUUGCCUUGACUCUCCUAAUGCCCUUCUCAUCGGGUUUAUCGACAGAACUAUGGAGGAAUUUUUGACCAGUUUUAGGAUGAAUAUCGAAUUUUUCAAUCUGCCUGAUAACCUCAUCACAAAAUGAGUUAUCUACAUUCGAAUCUAAACCUCUAACGUCAUCAAUUUCAAGUCCUUCGAAUCUUUUACAAAAUUCGUCUUCUACUAACCUCGAACUGUCGAACCGUUCUGAUAUAUUUGUUCUUAGGAGGCUUUGUAUCAGUCUUUCGCACGAAUCGGUGAGUACAAUCCUUUCUAAUUUUGGUAGUCCUCUUUUGAUAUUAUAGUAAACUUGCUUGGGGGUUGUUCCUGGAAAAGGAAAGUGACCUCGUAAGCAGACGUAAAGAACUAUUCCAAUACUCCAUAAGUCGGCUUUAGUAGCGACGUAUUCGCGUUGCAGCAAAACUUCGGGAGCGGCGUAUUGAAGGUUACCAACAAAAGUUGUUGACCAAAUAAUUCCCAAGGCUCUUGGAUCAUUUAGAUUAUCCGUUGCUACUCCAAAAUCCGAUAAUUUCAAACUAUCGUGCUUAUCGAGAAGCAAAUUUGAGCAUUUAAUAUCUCUAUGAGCUAUUCCCUAAAGAGUUGUACAAAUAUUUGGCAAUUAAUUCUUAAUUGGCUUUUAUAGUUAUUAUAAAAACCUUAUUGUGUAAAUAAUCUAUGGCUUUAGCUAAUUGUGCAAUCCAUACUCCGACAACCGGCUCUGGUAGACGAAAGUGGCGAGUAACUUCAUCUCUAACGGUUCUGCCAGAUAAUCUCUCCAUGAUAAUAUAUACCCGAUUAGCGGUCUCAGCCCCGGCCACACAUUUAACGAUGUUCGUAUGAGAUACUUUAGAGGUUAUUCGUAGCUCUCUCUUGAUAAAUUUAUCAAAAUGGACAGUUCUUCCUUUCUUAAUUAACCUAGCUUUAUCAUAUAUUUUUAUAGCUACUUCUUUACCAGUUUUUAUAGAAUAUCCAGAUAGAACAAUUGCUGUGCUACCACGUCCGAUUUCAACAUCAUUUCGAUGGAAACCUAGAAUUUCUAAAACAGUUUUAUCUUUUUUACCAAUACUACAUUUGUCUUGGGAAAUUCCUGUGCUAGAUUUAUGCCAGGUUAAUACUUGGAAGAGACGCUUAAUAAGAUUGCCUGAGCUAGAUUUUGACAAUUCCUCCUAACAAUAUUGUUUGUAUUAUUAACAAGAAUCUCCUAAUCGAAAUAAUCAGUUUUACCUCUUUUCUUACUUUACG